CCUAUCAAACUUUACUUUAGUUUAACUGGGGCAGUUAAUUAAUAAAAAUUUUAAUAAAGAUUAAGUACUAAAUAGANNNCCCAACANUAGUUGAUUACANUGAACAAGUUACUGUAGGGAUAACAGCGUAAUAUAUAUCUAAAGUUCUUAUUUUGAUAUAAGUUUGCGACCUCGAUGUUGAAUUNAUAUUACUUUCAAGCGCAAGAGCCUGAAAAGUGGGUCUGUUCGACCCCUAAAUAUAUACAUGAUUUGAGUUCAAAUCGGUGUAAACCAGAUUGGUUUCUAUCUAUUNUUAUUUGUGUCUUAGUACGAAAGGACCUGAAACAAUAUUAUAUAAUNAUUUAUAUGGCAGAAAAAUGCUUUAGAUUUAGGAUCUAACUAUAAUAGAUUAUUAUACUCUAUUUAACUUGUUUAAUCUCUGUUAUUAGAAUCCUUAUCGCAGUAGCUUUUUAUACCCUCCUAGAGCGAAAAAUUCUAAGCUACAUCC
Molecule: ribosomal RNA, 487 nt
Filed under: Sancus acoreensis
Lineage: Eukaryota; Metazoa; Arthropoda; Arachnida; Araneae; Tetragnathidae
Description: partial 16S ribosomal RNA
Rfam family: Bacterial large subunit ribosomal RNA (bases 1-287)
Source: RNAcentral